GUCCCCUGAGAGAUGAUCAGGUUGAUAGGCACUAAGUGGAAGUACAGUAAUGUAUGGAGCUGAGGUGUACUAAUAGGACGUAUUUCCUGCAAGG
RNAcentral lists this ribosomal RNA (94 nucleotides) under Minisyncoccota bacterium. RNAcentral describes it as "partial 23S ribosomal RNA". It matches the Rfam family "Bacterial large subunit ribosomal RNA", at positions 2832 to 2925 of the family's 2925-position model. Lineage: Bacteria; Bacillati; Minisyncoccota. The record is from RNAcentral.